AACGAACGCUGGCGGCAGGCCUAACACAUGCAAGUCGAACGAGAUCUUCGGGUCUAGCGGCGGCCGGGUGAGUACCGCGUGGGAAUAUGCCCCUUGGUACGGAAUAGCCUCGGGAAACUGGGAGUAAUACCGUAUGUGCUCUUUCGGGGUAAGAUUUAUCGCCAAGAGAUUAGCCCGCGUGGGAUUAGGUAGUUGGUGGGGUAAUGGCCUACCAAGCCGACGAUCCUUAGCUGGUUUGAGAGGAUGAUCAGCCACACUGGGACUGAGACACGGCCCAGACUCCUACGGGAGGCAGCAGUGGGGAAUCUUAGACAAUGGGGGCAACCCUGAUGUAGCCAUGCCGCGUGAAUGAUGAAGGCCUUAGGGUUGUAAAGCUCUGUCAGCUGGGAAGAUAAUGACGGUACCAGCAGAAGAAGCCCCGGCUAACUCCGUG
RNAcentral lists this ribosomal RNA (433 nucleotides) under uncultured bacterium. RNAcentral's name for it is "partial 16S ribosomal RNA". It matches the Rfam family "Bacterial small subunit ribosomal RNA", at positions 29 to 507 of the family's 1533-position model. The record is from RNAcentral.